CAGAGAAAUCUAAAGAAGGUCGCGGUUCGAGUUGACACCGUUGAAGUCGAGUCGGUGUUGGGUUCGUAAUUUUGCUGCGACGUGCGUCACCCUUUUGGAGCGCUCUUCUUCGCUUCUCCGCUUCGCCGCCUGGCUUACGGAUAGGGUUGGGUUCCCAAAACCCUACCGCGCGGUACCGGCGAAGGCGAUAUGAUCCGACGAAUAGGUGCGCACCAAGCAUUCGAUGAAAUGCCUACCACCCUUCGGUGCUCAAUGGUGUGAAAAGAUUUCCUGUCUAAUAUACUGCAGACGUUCUUCCAGUUACAAGAACGAGCACGAGGCCGGCAUCGAGCUUGCAGAUGAAUCUUCCUCUCUGUUCACCUCUGAGACUAACCCCGACGGCUCGGUUCCCACCGUCGAACACAUUGAGGGCUACUUGCUCCGUCUCCGGUUCGACGAAGAAGAACAGAGUCAUCGUGAUCUCCGGCCCCACUGGAGCGGGAAAGAGUAGGCUCGCAUUAGAGCGCUGAUUCCGUGCAAGUGUACCGUAUGAUAAUUAAACUGGUACCUACGUUACUACA
This is a long non-coding RNA of Musa acuminata AAA Group (dessert banana), 560 nucleotides long. RefSeq lists it as uncharacterized. The record is from RefSeq and is a predicted model, not a curated record. Lineage: Eukaryota; Viridiplantae; Streptophyta; Magnoliopsida; Zingiberales; Musaceae. The transcript is spliced from 2 exons.